RNAcentral lists this ribosomal RNA (301 nucleotides) under uncultured bacterium. RNAcentral describes it as "partial 16S ribosomal RNA". It matches the Rfam family "Bacterial small subunit ribosomal RNA", at positions 509 to 807 of the family's 1533-position model. The record is from RNAcentral.
CAGCAGCCACGGGAAUACAGAGGGUGCGAGCGUUAAUCGGAUUUACUGGGCGUAAAGCGUGCGUAGGCGGCUUCUUAAGUCGGAUGUGAAAUCCCUGAGCUUAACUUAGGAAUUGCAUUCGAUACUGGGAAGCUAGAGUAUGGGAGAGGAUGGUAGAAUUCCAGGUGUAGCGGUGAAAUGCUUAGAGAUCUGGAGGAAUACCGAUGGCGAAGGCAGCCAUCUGGCCUAAUACUGACGCUGAGGUACGAAAGCAUGGGGAGCAAACAGGAUUAGAUACCCGCGUAGUCCCUGUCUCUUAUAC